UACGGGGGGGGGAAGCGUUGUUCGGAAUUACUGGGCGUAAAGGGCUCGUAGGCGGCCAACUAAGUCAGACGUGAAAUCCCUCAGCUUAACUGGGGAACUGCGUCUGAUACUGGAUGGCUUGGAUUCGGGAGAGGAAUGCGGAAUUCCAGGUGUAGCGGUGAAAUGCGUAGAUAUCUGGAGGAACACCGGUGGCGAAGGCGGCAUUCUGGACCGAUAUUGACGCUGAGGCGCGAAAGCCAGGGGAGCAAACGGG
RNAcentral lists this ribosomal RNA (253 nucleotides) under uncultured bacterium. RNAcentral describes it as "partial 16S ribosomal RNA". It matches the Rfam family "Bacterial small subunit ribosomal RNA", at positions 524 to 776 of the family's 1533-position model. The record is from RNAcentral.